UCAUUUUAUUUACCUUCUAAUAUAACCAAAAAGGCUAGCAAUUUAAGCAAGCAGUAACAGUAACCAAUAUAAUUACCGAAAUUGCAUUUCCACCUACGAAACUCUUAAUGAAAACCCCGCAGAUGAAUACCAAAUUAAUCGCUUUAUUUUUAAAAGUAAAAAUACAUUCCUCUCAAAAAAAAAAAAAAAAAGGAACAAUUUUCACACCAUACAUAUUUAACCCCACAAAAAAUAAGCAUACAAAAUCAUAUAUAUGACAAAGAUAGGAACUGUUGAAUACUUGAGUCUCUCACAUCACAUAUACAUGUUCAAAACAUAUAUAACAAACUGGUAGCCACCAACGCUGUGAGAAGAACAAAU
RNAcentral lists this long non-coding RNA (360 nucleotides) under Populus trichocarpa (black cottonwood). RNAcentral's name for it is "long non-coding RNA (PTRI_LNC000332)". Lineage: Eukaryota; Viridiplantae; Streptophyta; Magnoliopsida; Malpighiales; Salicaceae. The record is from RNAcentral.